Molecule: long non-coding RNA, 623 nt
Organism: Aquila chrysaetos chrysaetos
Lineage: Eukaryota; Metazoa; Chordata; Aves; Accipitriformes; Accipitridae
Exons: 2
Source: RefSeq, a predicted model, not a curated record
CGCAGGCCGUUCCUCGGGGCCGCGGAGGGCCGCCCCCUCCCCGGGUGGGCUCUCCGGGGCGGGGAGGGGGCGGCGGUGGGGGCCCGCGGCCGUGCGAGCGGCUUCAUAGGUGUUACGCGCCGGGGACCGGCGGACUAGAAAAGAAAAGAGACGGGCCAAGAACCAACCGUGAGCUCUGCAGUCCCAAGGGGAAAAGCAAACGCUGUUUUCCUGCAGUUGCAAACGCUCGAUGGACGCGUACAUUUAUACGCCUGUUUUUCUUCCAAGGUGGUCGGUGUCAAGGAGCAGCUGAUGCAGAGACGUGCAACCUCAGAGCAAAAACGUCUAUUGCUGAUCGAGUUUCAGAACAAAGGGAGAUUAACUGUUAGGGAUUGGAGUUAUUUGCAUACAGUCUAUUGCAUUUCCAGGCAGAGAAAGUUAAAAAGAGGACUGACGUGGUUUAGGAACUAUCUGUAGCUCAGUGAAGCUUUAAAUCAAGUUAACGCUCUCACAGCCCUUGGGGGAUUUGCAUAAUUUCCAUAAUGUGCAGCAUGUUUUUCACUUCCCAAUAGAAACCAUCAGUUAUGUAAGCAAAUUGGUUGCAUAAUUAUGCAGAUGGAAAAAUAAGUUUAAUUGAUUCAACA